This is an RNA transcript of Andrographis paniculata, 2115 nucleotides long. It is a transcript of the gene named glucan endo-1,3-beta-glucosidase 7-like, with no coding region annotated. Lineage: Eukaryota; Viridiplantae; Streptophyta; Magnoliopsida; Lamiales; Acanthaceae. The record is from RefSeq and is a predicted model, not a curated record. The transcript has 6 exons.
UUAAUUGUGUUCACUCACCGACGGUCUCAACUCCCAAGUACACGUGAAGUUCCUAUUAUACCCUUCGUCGUCUCCAGUGAGCGAAUUACAGAUACUCUCCCCACGUUAGUUAUUAUGCUCACUCCUAUUUCUCCAGCCUCAUGCUUUCCUUCCUUCUCUCAUCCCUUCGAUUCCAUUCCUUUUCCUCAAUUGAAUCCACCUGAAUUAAGAAGAUUUUCAGUUGCUUCCUCCAAUCCAUGGCGACCUUAAGCUAUUCAUCAAUGGCGGUUCUCUGUGCUGCACUCUUCACUUUCUCUACACUCUCCAAAUCGCAGCCGUUCAUCGGAGUGAACUACGGCCAGGUCGCCGACAACCUCCCGCCGCCGGAAACCACCGCGAAGCUCCUCCAAUCCACUUCAAUCGAGAAGGUUCGUCUCUACGGUACGGAUCCUGGAGUAAUCAAAGCCCUAGCGAACACCGGAAUCGAGAUCACAGUCGGAGUCUCCAACUCCGACAUCCCUGCCAUGGCGGCGGAUCCGAACGCCGCCAGCAACUGGAUCGCCGGAAACGUCGUCCCCUUCCAUCCGGCGAGCAAAAUCGGCCUCAUCAACGUCGGAAACGAGGUGAUGUCGUACAACGACCGCGGCCUGAUGCAACAGCUGCUCCCGGCGAUGCGAAAUCUCCAGAACGCCCUUGACUCCGCCAAUUUGGGGAAAAUCAAGGUCUCCACCGUCCAUUCCAUGGCGGUUCUCCGGCAGUCGGAUCCGCCUUCGUCCGGCAGCUUCGAUCCCGACGUCAAGGACUUGCUGAAGAACCUUCUAGAAUUCAACAACGCCACCGACUCGCCCUUCGCAAUCAACCCGUACCCGUAUUUCGCCUACCGGAGCGACCCGAGACCGGAGACCCUAUCCUUCUGCCUGUUCCAGCCGAAUCCGGGUCGGGUCGAUUCGGGAUCCGGAAUCAAAUACACCAACAUGUUUGACGCUCAGGUGGAUGCGGUUAGAUCUGCGCUGGAUUCGAUGGGGUUCAAAGGCGUGGAGAUCGUGGUGGCGGAGACAGGGUGGCCGUACAAGGGGGACGGGAAUGAAGUCGGGCCGGGCCUGGAGAAUGCACGGGCUUACAACGGGAACCUGGUUGCCCAUCUGAGGUCGAUGGCGGGGACGCCAUUGAUGCCUGGGAAAUCUGUGGAUACGUAUUUGUUUGCGCUGUACGACGAGGAUCAGAAGCCCGGCCCGAGUUCGGAGAGAUCGUUUGGGCUAUUCAAGCCCGAUUUGACCAUGAUUUAUGACGCUGGAUUGUCCAAGACGACAGCCUCCCAGGGUCCUCCCUCAAACAACACUCGAGCUGCUGCUCCAAAUCCAACCAACGGCUUAGCCAGGUGGUGUGUCCCCAAAACCACCGGCGUCUCCGAUUCUCAGCUACAAGCCAAUCUCGACUACGCGUGCGGGCAGCCCGGCGUGGAUUGCACCGCAAUCCAACCAGGCGGCUCGUGCUUCGAGCCGGUCACAGUGAGGUCUCAUGCGACGUACGCCAUGAAUCAGCUCUACCAAAAAUCUGAGAAGAAGCCCUGGAACUGCGAUUUCUCGCAGUCCGCCACCAUCACCUCCACAAAUCCCAGUUAUGAUAAGUGCAGUUAUCCUGGGGAAGGAGGUUCAUGAGAUGCACAAUACACUGCUGCUAAUUUAUUCAAUUGCCAACUGUUUAUAAAGUGCAGGCUGCAUAGAAGUAGAACAAGCCAUCCCUAACACGAGCAAUCGAUCAUCAUCGUAUAUGUUCAUUCAAUUGCCGGUAGAUCCAAACCCUCCGUCUCCUCUAACCGUGGCAUCAAGAUCAUCCACCUCCAUUACCUCAGGAGUCACAAUUUUCUGAAUGAUCAAUUGGGCAAUCCUGUCCCCAAUCUUCACUUCAAAAUCCACAUCCGAAUGGUUGAACAGAAUCACCUUCACCGGACCUCUGUAAUCAGCAUCAAUCACCCCUGCCCCCACAUCCACACAAUGUUUCAAAGCUAAACCUGAUCUUGGAGCUGCCAAAAUCAACACCAAAAGUACAAACAAAGAAUCAUCAAAUGAUUAACAUUUAGUGUUGUAGUUUUACAAUCGUUUUUAGAGUAUAUGAUAUUGCUUGUGUUUUUUGCAA